This 219-nucleotide non-coding RNA is filed under the name Aeribacillus pallidus. RNAcentral describes it as "T-box sequence". It matches the Rfam family "T-box leader". From Rfam's summary of the family: Uncharged tRNA acts as the effector for transcription antitermination of genes in the T-box leader family. T-boxes are found upstream of many aminoacyl-tRNA synthetase genes and some amino acid biosynthetic genes usually in Gram-positive bacteria. The anticodon of a specific tRNA base pairs to a specifier sequence within the T-box motif, and the NCCA acceptor tail of the tRNA base pairs to a conserved bulge in the T-box antiterminator hairpin. Lineage: Bacteria; Bacillati; Bacillota; Bacilli; Caryophanales; Bacillaceae. The record is from RNAcentral.
ACAUAGGCGAUGAGAAAGAGAAGUACAUGCCGAAAACAGUUUUCAGAGAGUUUGUGGCUGGUGGAAACAAACACUGUCCGGUAUGGAAAUGGACUUUUGAGCUCUCAGCUGAAAUCAGUAAGCUGCGGCGUUUUUGUCUUGCGUUAAAAGACGAAAAGUGAUUUCACAUGAAUGUUUGUGAAAUAAUUAGGGUGGCACCGCGGUCCAUUCGUCCCUAUA